AACCGGUUCGUUUGAGUCGAUCAGACCUAACCAGGUUCACUCCUGACGACCGGUCAUCGCGACUUUUCCGAAGCUCCAAGCUUGUCGACUCCAGCAAAGCCCCAACCUUCUCAACUCCGCCAAAGCCCUAGGCUUCUCGCGUGCGCGUUCCUCAAUUUUGCCACGUUCUCGUCUCCCUUACACUCGAAGAGUCGUCGGGGCUUCGCCAAAGCCCUAACAUUCAGCAUUUUUCUUCGUGCCUGUGAAAGGUAUGUUGUGUCUAAAUAUAUUUCAUUUAAAAGGUUUGAUUACAGAUCCAUUUGGUCAUAGAUCCCAUCUUUUUAGUUGCUGCAAGUUAAAACUAUUAUAUGAAUGUUGAUUGUAUUGAUAUUAUUUCCAAGCCUCGCUUCCCAGUAGAACAAAGGUUUUGCAUGUUCGAAUUGCUACCUGUGGUCUUAUAACUUUGAAGCUCCAUUAUUUCCGUCCAUAAUAUUGGCACUGGGACUAGAGUUAGUUGGAUUUGGAGUUUGAGCAAACUAAAUAUAUUUUAGGCUGCGAGUCACUGAGAUCAUAUUAUCGAGCAUUUUAUAUUUAUUUUCUGAUGGAAAAUGCAUUCUUUACUGCACAAUUUGAUAUAGACCCAAUAAAAUUUCUGAUGAGAAAUGAAUUUUGUUAAUUUUAAGAAUUUUAUAAUUCUUUAAAUUGGUAAAAUAUGUUGAUUUCAACCCAUAUAUUCUAAUAAAUUAUUGAGGUUAUAAGUUCCUUGUAUGAAUUAUAUUCAUAUGUGAGUUUUAUGUUAAUUAGUGUUUCAUGUAUGAUUGAUAGCUCAUGCUUAUUGUACGCAUAGAAAGGACAGAAAGGAGAAAAAAAGAGAAUUAAACAUAAGUAGGUUCUUAGCUACUUUGUCAGCAAAUUAGCCCCUAUUGAAUGGGACUAUACUGAUUUUGCCCCAAAUGAGAACUUAGUGUAAUCUCAUUCGUUUGAUAAUUUUCUAUAAAUAUAUAGGAGGGUUGUUUGACCUUUAAAAUAUAAAAUACUGCCCAAUUUAGCAUAAUUUCAGCUUAUAAUUUGCUGAAAUUAUCUUAAAACACCAUUUAAAGAUUCAGAAAAUUCUCAAAUAUCAUUUUAGAACUAUUUUUCUGGAAUUUCAUAUCAUUUUAGAUAUUUUUUACUUCAAAUGACUUGAGAUACAUGACUAGUAAGAGGGCUUAGACACAUUCUUAAUAUGGGCCAAAUUUAUAACCUUAUUCAGAAUAAAUGUAACUCAACCUUAAAAGGAUUUUUCAUGCGAAUUGACUCUAAAACUUUCGAUAAAUUUUACAUAAGAGUUUUUUAACCUUCAAAUCCAUGGAAUUAGGGGCUAAAUGAUAAAAGACCCAAUUUGGCAAAAUUUCCAUUUUGAAUAUGUCGAAAACAUUGUAAAAUGUAUCUAUGACUAAAAUUUUUUUUCAAAACUCUUAGACCUCAAUUGACAACUAAAUUCCUAGAAUUUUAGUCCAUCUUAGGUAUUUUUUGGCUUCAAAUGAUAGUAGCUUCACUAGUUUUUUUUUUUAAAUGAUGUUACCUUGAUUCUCGGUAGGCACAAUAAUCAGUGUAACUCAACGGUCAAAAAGUUUCUUUUUUUAAUCAAAAUUCCUUCCAAACUUUCUAAAAAUAUAUGAAAGGCUUUUUUGACAUUCAAAUCAAUGAAAUUAUAGGCUAAAUGAUAAAAGAUCCUGUCACAAUUUCAUCUUACAAUAUGCUGACUUCUUCAAAAUAUCAUUUUAAGGUUUAAAAUAAUUCUCAAAACUCUUAAAUCUCAUUUUGGAACCAACUUCCUAAACUUUUAUAUCUUUUUAAGGUAUUUCUUUGCUUCAAAUGACCCAAAUUACGUGGAUUUUAAAAGAGGUUAUUCCGAUUCUUAAGAGGGGCAAAUACCAGUGUGACCUUAUUCAAAAUUAAUGUAGUCCAACCUGUUUAUUUAAUUUUAUUUUUAAAUGAACUAAAUUAUAAUGAUUUUGAAUAUACAUUUAAUAACUUCAAUUAAAGUAAAAUCAAUGAAACUCGAGUUUCUCUUAUCCAGAUUCAUUCUAAAUAUUUUUAUUAAUAUAUAUAAGGGUUUUUUUACCUUGAAAUCCAUUAAAUUAGGGGUUAAAUAAUAAAAGACCCUUAAUUUUGCAUAAUUUCAUCUUUUAAUGUGCUGAAAUCACUGUAAAAUGCAAUCUAUUAUUCAAUUUUUUUUAACUCUUAAAUCUAGAUUCCUAAGGGUUCACACUAUAGGUAUUUUUGGCAUCAAAUGACCUUAGUUAUAUUGGUUUUGAAUUGAGUCACACUUAUUCUCAAUGUAUGCUGAAAUUAUUAUAACCCCAUUAAGAAACAAUUUAAUUCAAUGUUGAGGAGUUUUUUUUUAUCCCAAAUUCAUUCUAAAGCUUUCUAAAAAUGGAUUAUUUGGCCUAAAAAUCUAUGAAAUUUGGGGUUAAAUGAUAAAAUCCACCCAAUGUAGCACAAUUUCAACUAAUUUUGCAUUGAAAUCACCUUAAAAAUUUACAAAAAUCAUUUAAGCUUUUAAUUUAACAGUAAUAUUCUCAUGAUUCCAGUGCAACCGCAUACGCCUCUCCUUAUCCACUGAAUCAUAUACAUGCAAAACAUUCUGCCCUUAUAAUAAAGUCUGAUUGACAUCCUUUUGCAUGUGUAUGGCAAAGGAGUAUAGCAUGGAUUAAUCAAACAGUAAUGUCGAUAGUUGAGGCACCAACAAAGAUUUUGAUGACUUAGGUAAACAAAAUUAAUUUGUUAAAUAUAAAUAAGGAAAAGGAAAUUUUGAGGUUUAAUUACAGCGUUUCAGAAACUUACUACUAGUAUCUUUGUCUCUACUGCUACCUGAUGAAGUCUUGUUAAGAACAUGCUCCAUAACCACUGAGUCAGGUAUUAGAUACUUUUGAUAGACUUCAGAAGAACAAACAAAAGGGAAGAAGAGGAUGAAGGGCACAAUAAAAACAUAGAACAAGAAUCUUCCAAACGCCCGAACCAUGGUCUGCAUUUCUGCCUACCAAAAAUCUUAACAAGUGGUACUUCUGCAUCAUGUUGGACCGCAUUUGUCUUUGUUUGUUUGAGUUUAAUCUUAUGUCUGUUUAUUUUAUUUUUCUGAGACUUGCGUGCUAUAAAUGUGUUCGAUUCAGCAUAGCUCACUGGCUCAUUUCCUUCUAAUUUCUCUUCUUCUUUAUGGUUGUGAUAGAAUCAACUAAUGGUGUUACAGCUUUAGGUUCCUGAUUGAAUUGUGAUCAGCCGAAGCUAUUCUCUUAGCAGCUUAUCCUUUGAGUUGAGCUUUGGGGAUUCAAGAGAUGUAGUAUAGUAAAUUGUAGCUUGAUUUCUAUAAUUACUUGGUGAGAUGAGAUUUCUAUAAUGUAAGAUGAGAUUUAUUGAUGCCAUUUAAUCUUGCAUCAAAUGGAUUACAAAUGUGUAGAAUGUACAGAAUGGUGCUACUCUUUGUUACAUUCUUAACUAUAUAUCUCUGCAUUAAGUUGCACUCAUGUAGCCUUUGUUUCUAAUAAUCCACAGUUAAAAGUUUUGAUGCAA
This 3531-nucleotide long non-coding RNA is filed under the name Musa acuminata (dwarf banana). Its description in RNAcentral is "long non-coding RNA (MACU_LNC003584)". Lineage: Eukaryota; Viridiplantae; Streptophyta; Magnoliopsida; Zingiberales; Musaceae. The record is from RNAcentral.